This 328-nucleotide ribosomal RNA is filed under the name Didymium sp. RNAcentral's name for it is "bacterial SSU rRNA". It matches the Rfam family "Eukaryotic small subunit ribosomal RNA", at positions 80 to 356 of the family's 1831-position model. Lineage: Eukaryota; Evosea; Eumycetozoa; Physariida; Didymiaceae. The record is from RNAcentral.
UCUGAAUCUGCGAACGGCUCCGCAAACCAGUUGUAAACUAUAGCAAGCAAGCCUUGUGCCUGCCUUCACGGGUGGGUGCUUGGCGAUAUGGAUAACCCUGGUAAUUCUGAGGCUAAUACAAGAACGUAAAACCUGGCUGACUGCUUUCGUGGAAGGCUGGGGGACGUGCGAGUUGUGUCGCGAGAAUUUUCCGGGAAUGGACGCACGUUCAGACCGCGCUAAAAAGGAUCGGCUUCCCUUCACGGGGGGGCUGGCCCCAGCGGCUCUUGCUUUGUGCUUCUGACCUAUCAACUAGAUGGCAGCGUAACGGACAUGCUAUGGUGACAAC